UCUUCUUCCUGUGGAUGGUGGUUUCUUUAAACUCUUGACCAUUCCUCUUUGUAUAAGCUACACAUUGUGCAAGACACAGGCAAAAAGGAUCUCUUUUUCUUCAUAUAUGGUAGAAACUUAACAAAACAGAGUAUCUCUCUGCUGUUUAAGCCAUUGUCAGAAUCCACCUGUAUGUCAAAUUCAGGGACUGUGUUAUAACGUCUUUGCAUACAUGGAGGUGCCAGAGACUGCAAAAAUCUCUUUACUUUGCCAAAGCAAAUAAAUGAAGAAAGUCUCCAAGAACAAGAGCAUCCUAGCAGAGAAGCCCAAAUCACAGCCUAGUUCAUGCCCAUGAAUUGAGAUCUAUACUUGGUCAGAAUCAAGGAAAUGCCCAAGUUUUUUAAGGAGAGCAAGAAUCUAUGGACAGAUGUAUUAUGGGAAAG
Passer domesticus (house sparrow) is the source of this 422-nucleotide long non-coding RNA. RefSeq lists it as uncharacterized. The record is from RefSeq and is a predicted model, not a curated record. The transcript has 3 exons. NCBI's taxonomy places the organism in Eukaryota, Metazoa, Chordata, Aves, Passeriformes, Passeridae.